Echinostoma caproni is the source of this 45-nucleotide non-coding RNA. Lineage: Eukaryota; Metazoa; Platyhelminthes; Trematoda; Plagiorchiida; Echinostomatidae. The record is from Rfam.
ACACUGCUGACGAGCCUCAAACAGGACGAAACAGCUGUCCAGUGC